Non-coding RNA from Chaetomium tenue, 98 nucleotides. NCBI's taxonomy places the organism in Eukaryota, Fungi, Ascomycota, Sordariomycetes, Sordariales, Chaetomiaceae. The record is from the annotation of a GenBank genome assembly.
GCCCGGCUAGCUCAAUCGGUAGAGCGUGAGACUCUUACUUUCCCGCAGAGGGGAAACGGGUCAUCUCAAGGUUGUGGGUUCGACCCCCACGUUGGGCU